RNAcentral lists this ribosomal RNA (468 nucleotides) under uncultured bacterium. Its description in RNAcentral is "partial 16S ribosomal RNA". It matches the Rfam family "Bacterial small subunit ribosomal RNA", at positions 28 to 507 of the family's 1533-position model. The record is from RNAcentral.
GACGAACGCUGGCGGCGUGCUUAACACAUGCAAGUCGAACGGAAAGGCCCUGCUUUUGUGGGGUGCUCGAGUGGCGAACGGGUGAGUAACACGUGAGUAACCUGCCCUUGACUUUGGGAUAACUUCAGGAAACUGGGGCUAAUACCGGAUAGGAGCUCCUGCUGCAUGGUGGGGGCUGGAAAGUUUCGGCGGUUGGGGAUGGACUCGCGGCUUAUCAGCUUGUUGGUGGGGUAGUGGCUUACCAAGGCUUUGACGGGUAGCCGGCCUGAGAGGGUGACCGGCCACAUUGGGACUGAGAUACGGCCCAGACUCCUACGGGAGGCAGCAGUGGGGAAUAUUGCACAAUGGGCGGAAGUCUGAUGCAGCAACGCCGCGUGCGGGAUGACGGCCUUCGGGUUGUAAACCGCUUUCGCCUGUGACGAAGCGUGAGUGACGGUAAUGGGUAAAGAAGCACCGGCUAACUACGUG